This is a small nuclear RNA of Cercocebus atys (sooty mangabey), 83 nucleotides long. Its record names the gene U4. It matches the Rfam family "U4 spliceosomal RNA". From Rfam's summary of the family: U4 small nuclear RNA (U4 snRNA) is a component of the major U2-dependent spliceosome. The structure of U4 snRNA from yeast and human has been reported. Lineage: Eukaryota; Metazoa; Chordata; Mammalia; Primates; Cercopithecidae. The record is from Ensembl.
AGCUUUGCACAGUGGCAGUAUUGUAGCCAAUGAGGUUUACCCGAGGUGCAAUUAUUGGCUAAUUAAACUAUCUCACUGACCAA